AAUAAUCUAAAGCCCAAGACAAGACAAGACGAAGAGCCUUCCUAGAGAAGACAAGAGUUGGAAGCAAGAGGAAGCUUAUUCUCCCUCUCCUUACGCCGAAGCUGUUCUUGGAGGCGAUGUCGGGAACGUUCCAUUUGAAUUCUAGCUACGUCCCUGGUUACACACUUUCAGUUUCAGACAACAGGUGUUUCUCUAACCCUGCUGUUUUCAGUAGAACACCUGCUACAUUACAUUGCUCUUCUUCCUGUCUGGAACACAAGCUAAAUGGAAGUCUGAAAUGUGCCGCCGGUAGUAGUUCUUUUGUUUGCCGAGCGAGUUCUUCUGGUGGAUACAGAAGAAACCCUGAUUUCUCAAGGCUUAAUAAGCACGGAAGAAACAGGCAAAGCGUUGAUAGAGGUUUCGAUGGUGAAAACUCUGAUAUGUUAUCUUCAAGGAAUGGGUCUUUGCUCUCUCUGUCUAACUCCCCGAAGUUCCAAGCCACUUCAUCCCCUGGGCCAAGAGAGAAAGAGAUAGUGGAGCUCUUCAGAAAGGUUCAAGCUCAGCUCCGAGCUCGAGCAGCGGCUAAGAGGGAAGAUCAAAAGGUAGAAGAAGAAGAAGCUUCUAAAGGACAGGGUAAAGAAAGUGAAACUGUCGACUCCCUUCUUAAGUUACUAAGGAAGCACUCGGGAGAGCAGAGCAAGAAAGUUAACAAUUUUAACAGCCAUGGAGACAAUUCUCUACAAGUAGAUCCUGUGGACAGAAGGCAAGAUCGCAGCAGCGGGAAUAUUGUCAAGUCAUGGACCAAAGAUCAUAAUGCAUCAUCAUCCUUUACCAGGCCAGCGUCAAGCUUCAGAAGAAAGUCGCCGGUACCAAGAUUUGAAUCGCCUCCGGCUUAUUCUAACGAGGCAACUUUUGAUGAGGCGUCGAGUUACAGCGUGACUUGGACUCAUAAGAAGGAUACAGCAGAGUCGCAUGACGAACCUCAGGCUGAGAUUGAGCCCGAGUACGACGAACAUGCACCUGAAUAUGAGUUAGAUCCUGAGCCUGUGACAGCUAUUCUCGAACCAGAGUCUGAGCUGGAGGUAAACACAUCAUCAUUUUACCAAGUGGAGGAUGAUAAUGUUACUUUAGAUGCCUUAUCAGAUGCUGAUGAUGAGGAGUCUCUGGAUGAUGCUGACGAUGAAGAGGUUGAUGAAGCUGAGGAAGAACCUGUGAAAGACUUGAGUACAUUGAAGCUGAUGGAACUGAGAGGCAUAGCAAAAUCAAGGGGACUAAAGGGGUUUUCAAAGAUGAAGAAAGCCGAACUCAUGGAGUUGCUUGGUAGACACUCCAGCUGAUUUUGACGGUGAAUGAGACUCAACAAAUAAUCUGAACAUUUGCUCUCGUUGAUGACAAUGUUGAAGUGAGUUAUUUUCUGCUGUUUUGCUCUCGUUGAUGACAAUGUUGAAAUAGUUUUAAGACGAUGGCUCACUUCAAAUCAAAGAGUCAUUUAAAGCACUGUAUUCUAAGCCAGGCCUUUUCUUUGAGGGGUCAGAUACUUGAAUCAAAAUCGUAAUUGGAGUCGGCUGAUGGCUCAUUCAAGGUGGGUCCGGUCAUAGCCAGUGUAAUCAGUCAAUCAAAAUGAUCACCAAUUUUUUCUGAUUGGUUACCUUCUUUAAUCCUUAGUUGGCCCUACUUGUAAGUCACGUUUUUAUCAUUUUAUACUUCUCACUGGUUUUCUGCUUGUUAAU
RNA transcript from Raphanus sativus (radish), 1709 nucleotides. It is a transcript of the gene named rho-N domain-containing protein 1, chloroplastic, with no coding region annotated. The record is from RefSeq and is a predicted model, not a curated record. NCBI's taxonomy places the organism in Eukaryota, Viridiplantae, Streptophyta, Magnoliopsida, Brassicales, Brassicaceae. The transcript has 3 exons.